This 1036-nucleotide long non-coding RNA is filed under the name Gallus gallus (chicken). RNAcentral describes it as "lncRNA (ENSGALG00010003970.1)". The record is from RNAcentral. Lineage: Eukaryota; Metazoa; Chordata; Aves; Galliformes; Phasianidae.
GGGUGGUGAGGCACUGGAACAGACUCCCCAGAAAUGUGGUUGUUGCCCCAUCCCUGGAGACUUCCUAAGUGUGGCUGGACCAGGAUCUGAGCAACCUGAUCUAGCUGUGGUUGUCCCUGUUCACUGCAGGAGAGCUGGACUACAUAAACUGUAAAGGUCCCUUUCAAAUCUAAGAAUUCUAUGAUUCUAAAUGUCUGUUUCUCUUCACUGACCAUCAGGGGAAUCUAAACCACUAGACCAGAUGUCAACUCCUACUGUGUAAAUGCUUGCAGUUGCUUAGAUGCAUUUGACUUAGAUACUUUUCUGGGUAGAAUUUAUCGUUUCAUGGAUAACCUCCUAAAGUUGUCUUAGGUUAUAAGGUUCUGAACCAGAUAAUUGAAUAUGAAGGGUUUAUUACAUUGUUUGGAUGUUCAUACAUCUAUGGGAUAAGACAGGACUGAAGGAACUGGCAAGUGUGCUCAUCAAAUUAUUUUCAGUAGUUUACUAGAGUCUUGGACAACUGAGGAGGUCCUAGUUGAUGGGAAGUGAAUGUGUCUCUAAUCUACAAGAUGGGCAAGAGGAUCCAGAGAAUUAUAGGCCUUUCAUUUUGACCUUGGUACAAGUUGUAGUAUUCCAAAGACUCUGGAUACUAGAGGAAGAUUUUCUUCAUGGACUAGCUAUGGAUUAAUUGUGGAUCAAGUAUACUUAUUGGAUGAAGCUUGCACAAAGUUCAUAACAGCAAGAUUGUACGGCUUGGCCAUGAGAAGAUUGAGCUUAGAGGAAUGGGAAGUCUAAAGAAUGUCUGAAUAUCUCCUGGACUCCUGGAUACAGUGCUGAAAGACAAUGAAAACUCCAUUUGAAAAAUAUGUUACUUUCAAGAUUGGCAAGUUCACCAGUUUAAAAUACAAGAAAGGUGAUUUAUGAGAGCACUAGGAUUCAUGGGGGCACAAGAGCCUUUCUACUACUGACAGUGCAGAUAGCAUGAUUAUGUCUAUAUUUUAUUCUAUCUGUGCUAAGUCUCCCCAGCAUGCAUUAUGGAAGAUUUGUAAUUUACCUC